RNAcentral lists this ribosomal RNA (253 nucleotides) under uncultured bacterium. Its description in RNAcentral is "partial 16S ribosomal RNA". It matches the Rfam family "Bacterial small subunit ribosomal RNA", at positions 524 to 776 of the family's 1533-position model. The record is from RNAcentral.
UACGAAGGAGGCUAGCGUUGCUCGGAAUCACUGGGCGUAAAGAGCUCGUAGGUGGUUUGUCGCGUUGUUCGUGAAAUCCCACGGCUUAACUGUGGGCGUGCGGGCGAUACGGGCAGACUGGAGUACUGCAGGGGAGACUGGAAUUCCUGGUGUAGCGGUGGAAUGCGCAGAUAUCAGGAGGAACACCGGUGGCGAAGGCGGGUCUCUGGGCAGUAACUGACGCUGAGGAGCGAAAGCGUGGGGAGCGAACAGG